This 250-nucleotide ribosomal RNA is filed under the name Pseudomonas aeruginosa. Its description in RNAcentral is "partial 23S ribosomal RNA". It matches the Rfam family "Bacterial large subunit ribosomal RNA", at positions 2681 to 2925 of the family's 2925-position model. The record is from RNAcentral. RNAcentral also lists the same sequence under 1 other name. Lineage: Bacteria; Pseudomonadati; Pseudomonadota; Gammaproteobacteria; Pseudomonadales; Pseudomonadaceae.
GUACGAGAGGACCGGAGUGGACGCAUCACUGGUGUUCGGGUUGUCAUGCCAAUGGCACUGCCCGGUAGCUAAAUGCGGAAGAGAUAAGUGCUGAAAGCAUCUAAGCACGAAACUUGCCCCGAGAUGAGUUCUCCCUGACUCCUUGAGAGUCCUGAAGGAACGUUGAAGACGACGACGUUGAUAGGCCGGGUGUGUAAGCGCAGCGAUGCGUUGAGCUAACCGGUACUAAUGAACCGUGAGGCUUAACCUU